Molecule: long non-coding RNA, 403 nt
Filed under: Phoenix dactylifera (date palm)
Lineage: Eukaryota; Viridiplantae; Streptophyta; Magnoliopsida; Arecales; Arecaceae
Description: long non-coding RNA (PDAC_LNC004382)
Source: RNAcentral
GAUGCAGUAUUGGAUCAUUUUGUUCAUUAUCAUCUUCAUCAUUCUUUUCAAUAGAUUUUUUAGGUUUGUCAUCUUUUGUUUGAAUUUCUUUGUUAAUUAUUUUUCCACUCCGAAGGGUUGUGACAGACUUAACUUGCUCAAAUUUAGGUUGGGAUGAACUUGCUUCAUGGACCUCAUGUUGACCCUUUGGGUUAGAUUGAGGUUGGGCUGGAAAUGUCCCUCUUUCCCUAACAUUAAGUUGAGCCUCAAUUCUACCUACAGAAUUUUUAAGUUCUUGAAGUGAUUGUAUUGUAUUCUGAUUUAUUUGAGUCUGCCCUUGCAUGAAGGUUUGCAAAGUAUCUUCAAGGGAUUUCCUAUGUGGUGGCACAUAAGGAGUAGGAACAGAAUUUUCUUGAGAUUCAUU